UACGGAGGGGGCAAGCGUUGUUCGGAAUUACUGGGCGUAAAGGGCUCGUAGGCGGUCAACUAAGUCAGAUGUGAAAUCCCUCGGCUUAACCGGGGAACUGCGUCUGAUACUGGAUGGCUUGAGUUUGGGAGAGGGACGCGGAAUUCCAGGUGUAGCGGUGAAAUGCGUAGAUAUCUGGAGGAACACCGGUGGCGAAGGCGGCGUCCUGGACCAACACUGACACUGAGGAGCGAAAGCCAGGGGAGCAAACGGG
Molecule: ribosomal RNA, 253 nt
Filed under: uncultured bacterium
Lineage: Bacteria
Description: partial 16S ribosomal RNA
Rfam family: Bacterial small subunit ribosomal RNA
Source: RNAcentral